CCUACGGGGGGCAGCAGUGAGGAAUAUUGGUCAAUGGGCGGGAGCCUGAACCAGCCAAGUCGCGUGAGGGAAGACGGUCCUAUGGAUUGUAAACCUCUGUAGGCGGGGAGCAAUGCCGGGCACGUGUGCCCGGAGGGAGAGUACCCGCAGAAUAAGCAUCGGCUAACUCCGUGCCAGCAGCCGCGGUAAUACGGAGGAUGCGAUCGUUAUCCGGAUUUAGUGGGUUUAAAGGGUUCAUAGGCGGAUUUUUAAGUCAGCGGGAAAAUGGCCGGGCGCGACCCGGGCCGGCCGUUGAAACUGGGGAUCGGGAGUGGGCGAGAAGUAUGCGGAAUGCGUGGUGUAGCGGGGAAAUGCAUAGAUAUCACGCAGAACUCCGAUUGCGAAGGCAGCAGACCGGCGCCCGACUGACGCUGAGGCACGAAAGCGUGGGGAUCGAACAGGAUUAGAUACCCGGGUAGUC
RNAcentral lists this ribosomal RNA (460 nucleotides) under uncultured bacterium. RNAcentral describes it as "partial 16S ribosomal RNA". It matches the Rfam family "Bacterial small subunit ribosomal RNA", at positions 338 to 795 of the family's 1533-position model. The record is from RNAcentral.